UGGCUCAGAGGUUAAAGCGUCUGCCUGCAAUGCAGGAGACCUGGGUUCAAUUCCUGG
This 57-nucleotide transfer RNA is filed under the name Ovis aries (sheep). It matches the Rfam family "tRNA", at positions 8 to 63 of the family's 71-position model. Rfam says of the family: Transfer RNA (tRNA) molecules are approximately 80 nucleotides in length. The record is from Rfam by way of RNAcentral. Lineage: Eukaryota; Metazoa; Chordata; Mammalia; Artiodactyla; Bovidae.